UUUCAUUGUGAGCAAAAACAAUCCAGCACAAAAAAUAAUUAAAAUAACUCCAUACAAAAUUUAUAACAAACCCAUUAGGAUUCUCAACUUCAGUUGCAAAUCUUUGUACAUGUCUUCCUUUUCUCACUAUUACUAAACCAUUUCGAACUGUAACGGCUCCCAGAAUUUUUUGUCUUCACAGCUGUUCUCUCUUAAUUGCAGAGUCCCCACUUCCAUGCUAAUUUUUUCUUUUCUUUUCUUCUUUCUAUUACUAAACCAUUUCGAACUGUAACGGCUCCCAGAAUUUUUUGUCUUCACAGCUGUUCUCUCUUAAUUGCAGAGUCCCCACUUCCAUGCUAAUUUUUUCUUUUCUUUUCUUCUUU
RNAcentral lists this unclassified non-coding RNA (362 nucleotides) under Hevea brasiliensis (rubber tree). Lineage: Eukaryota; Viridiplantae; Streptophyta; Magnoliopsida; Malpighiales; Euphorbiaceae. The record is from RNAcentral.